RNAcentral lists this ribosomal RNA (506 nucleotides) under uncultured bacterium. RNAcentral describes it as "partial 16S ribosomal RNA". It matches the Rfam family "Bacterial small subunit ribosomal RNA", at positions 29 to 523 of the family's 1533-position model. The record is from RNAcentral.
AGUGAACGCUGGCGGUAGGCCUAACACAUGCAAGUCGAACGGCAGCACAGAGGAGCUUGCUCCUUGGGUGGCGAGUGGCGGACGGGUGAGGAAUACAUCGGAAUCUACUCUGUCGUGGGGGAUAACGUAGGGAAACUUACGCUAAUACCGCAUACGACCUACGGGUGAAAGCAGGGGAUCCUCGGACCUUGCACGAUUGAAUGAGCCGAUGUCGGAUUAGCUAGUUGGCGGGGUCAAGGCCCACCAAGGCGACGAUCCGUAGCUGGUCUGAGAGGAUGAUAAGCCACACUGGAACUGAGACACGGUCCAGACUCCUACGGGAGGCAGCAGUGGGGAAUAUUGGACAAUGGGCGCAAGCCUGAUCCAGCCAUACCGCGUGGGUGAAGAAGGCCUUCGGGUUGUAAAGCCCUUUUGUUGGGAAAGAAAUCCAUCUGGUUAAUACCCGGGUGGGAUGACGGUACCCAAAGAAUAAGCACCGGCUAACUUCGUGCCAGCCGCCGCAGUAA